CCUACGGGUGGCAGCAGUGAGGAAUAUUGGUCAAUGGACGAGAGUCUGAUCCAGCCAAGUAGCGUGAAGGAUGACUGCCCUAUGGGUUGUAAACUUCUUUUAUAUGGGAAUAAAAUGUUCCACGUGUGGGAUUUUGUAUGUACCAUAUGAAUAAGGAUCGGCUAACUCCGUGCCAGCAGCCGCGGUAAUACGGAGGAUCCGAGCGUUAUCCGGAGUUAUUGGGUUUAAAGGGAGCGUAGGUGGAUUGUUAAGUCAGUUGUGAAAGGUUGCGGCUCAACCGUAAAAUUGCAGUUGAAACUGGCAGUCUUGAGUACAGUAGAGGUGGGCGGAAUGCGUGGUGUAGCGGUGAAAUGCUUAGAUAUCACGAAGAACACCGAUUGCGAAGGCAGCUCACUGGACUGCAACUGACACUGAGGCUCGAAAGUGUGGGUAGCAAACAGGAUUAGAUACCCGAGUAGUC
RNAcentral lists this ribosomal RNA (460 nucleotides) under uncultured bacterium. RNAcentral describes it as "partial 16S ribosomal RNA". It matches the Rfam family "Bacterial small subunit ribosomal RNA", at positions 338 to 795 of the family's 1533-position model. The record is from RNAcentral.